GGCAUUUGCUGGUGGAGUGCAUUUCCCUCUGUAUGUGGCAUUGGUGAGGCUGCACCUCAAGUGUUGUGUCCAGUUCUGGGACCCUCAUGACAAGAAUGACACUGAGGGGCUGGAGCUUGUCCAGAGAAGGGAGAUGGUGAAGGGGCUGGAGCCCCAGGAGCAGCUGAGGGAGCUGGGAAAGGGGCUUAGCCUGGAGAAAAGGAGGCUCAGGAGGGCCCUUCUUACUCUCCACAAUUCCCACAGGAGAAUGCAGCUAGGCGGGACUUGGCCUCUUCUCCCAGGCAGCCAGUGCUAAGACAAGAAGAAACAGCCUCAGUGUGCACCAGGGAAGGUUCAGGUUGGACAUCAGGAGGAAUUUCUUCAUGGAGAGGGUUGUUAAACUUUGGAAUGGACUUCCCAGGGAUGAGAUGGAGUCACAAUCCCCGGAAGCAUUCAAGAAACUUUGGAUGUGACACUGAGUGCUCUGGUUUAGUUGACAAGGUGUUGAUCAAUCAAAGGCUGCACUCGAUGAUCUCAGAGGAUUUUCCAGCCCAAAUGACUCUGUGAUUCUCUGGUCUGUGCACGCAGCAGGGCAGGAAUUGCUGAAGUUUGCCCAGAAGAGUGAUGCAUGGAUGGAGUCAUUGACUAAGAGCAGAUUCUACUGCCCUGAACCUCACAAGUCUCUGAACUUAGAAGUCUCUCCUGCAUUCAGUGUUCCUGUCUACUGUACACUGGUGGUGGAAGACACAGUGUUUUAUCACUAAAGUUAUCAUUUCAUAAAUACAUAAAACACAAAGAUAAAAUACUUACUAAAGGGAAAACAACAUUUUGCUUUGCAGGACACUUCUUAAAGGAAAAAAAAAUUGGGAACUUGUCUGCUGUCUUACAUCCAUGGGAAGAGCCAAGAUUCUCUAAUGAUUUCCUUCUUCAAAAAGCAAAACAAAGAAAGCAAAGCAAUCCCCCAUUGAGGGCUUAUUUUGGGCUGGAAAGUAUGAGAGUAUUUUGGGGACUAAAAGUAGCUGCAGUCUACAUGUUUUGUGGGAUUUCUGGAGUUUGGCAUUCAAGCUGAAGGCACAAAGUGAAUCUAAAAGGAUCUGAUCUGCUGAGACAGUGACACACUUGGAAGUUUUAAGUAAAUAUAGACUAUAAAUUCAACUGGAAAAAGAGAAACAUCACCUGUUUUAGCUGUGACUCUGAUGAGCUGGGUUUCUGUUUGACCUCUCUGAAAACCUGGGUUCUUUCUGCAGAGGUGUCAGGACAUUAGAAGAUGGCUGUGGGGCAGGAGAAGGAAGAGGGAAAUGAAAAAGAGGCAGGUAAUUGCUCAGUAGAAGAUUCUCGUGGGGAAACACAGUACUGCUGGUUCUAAUGUCCAGAACCUUUCUUCUUCUCACUAGGAAAGGGAGGAAAAGGGAGACUCUACAAACUAGAGCCUGUGAAAGAUAGAUAUGAAAGUGACAAGGACAGAAAUAAUGAGAAGGAUUAAGUGAUCUUCAUGACUAGCUCCUUAUCCCAAAGAGUUAGACAUGCAGAAAUGCUUUUCACCACUAUCUGAAAGGUUGUCCCUAUGUCUGAUUCCUCUUAAUGUGAAUCAUUCUUAAUCACAACAUCAGACAUAUAGAAAGAAGAAAAGUUUGACUCUCUCACGUUAUGCAGUACAUAUCAAUAUCAGGGGAAGCUGGGUAUGAAUGAAGCAAAGACAUGCCAUAGCUCUAAAAUUUCCACAAUUGUCACUUGCUGCUUUAGCAUGCCAGUGCUCUGUUUGGAAUAUGGUUUUGGAGUCAUAUUCUUUCUUCUUAGGGGAGAUGGGGGAAUAACAGAAUGCGGACACAGUACUGAACACAAAGAUGGCACAAUCUCAUUUUCUUCCCUGGCAUGAUGUUAAUUUUUAUGGUUAUUAUUUUUUCCAGUCAUGGCUAUUUUUCAGAACCCCUCCUCCCCACACUCCCCUGUCCCUUCCCACCCUCCUUCUGCUUCUCAGAGAUGAGCAACUUUGCCAUCCUUAUUGAGCAAAUAAAUAAAUAAAUAAAUAAAUAAAUUUCUGUGAG
Cyanistes caeruleus (blue tit) is the source of this 2024-nucleotide long non-coding RNA. The record is from Ensembl. NCBI's taxonomy places the organism in Eukaryota, Metazoa, Chordata, Aves, Passeriformes, Paridae.